AUCUUUUAUAAACAUUUUAUCUGUUUAUUUUAGUCUAUAUUCUCCUCUCCUUCUCUCUCUCUUUUCUUCUUCGUGUCUCUUUCAUCUCCUCCAUUUAUUUUCUGUUGAAUUCUUGACUGGUUAAAAAUGGAACUUGAGUAUGCUUAACUUUUCAGUAGAAGAAUGAAUAAAUCAAAGUUUUGUCAGUAAAGAAGAGACUUCAUACCCAAGUGACAUGGAGAUGGUCUUCACAUACUCUGUUUUUAUCGAAGGACAUCACUCGUACUUUGACAUUGAUGAGUCUUCUGGUGGAGUGAAUGGUACUGAUAAUUGCAGGUGGAAUUAGGAACAAUGGAACAAGUACACGCAAGACUUGUCACUGCCUCACCAUGCCAACAAGCAGUGCAGGUCAGUUUGCCAUUGGUUCUGACCUGUGGUCUUGUUUUCUUCUUGUUUAGCACAUGUAUAUUGUAUUGUUGUAGUUACGUUGAAAGUGUAUUCACAAGUCUUUGUUCUUCC
Molecule: long non-coding RNA, 498 nt
Organism: Raphanus sativus (radish)
Lineage: Eukaryota; Viridiplantae; Streptophyta; Magnoliopsida; Brassicales; Brassicaceae
Exons: 3
Source: RefSeq, a predicted model, not a curated record